This 656-nucleotide small RNA is filed under the name Arabidopsis thaliana (thale cress). RNAcentral describes it as "ATSL249060". The record is from RNAcentral. Lineage: Eukaryota; Viridiplantae; Streptophyta; Magnoliopsida; Brassicales; Brassicaceae.
UAAACAAACAGGUGUUAACUACUAGCAUCGAAAAUAAACACACAAAAUAGUAACUGUGUUUUCAUGUUUUUGAGUUAUCUACAUAUACAUUUUUGCAGCCACUAUAUGAAAUAAAUCUUCAAGUUGAGACUUAUUUACAGUGGUUGUCACUGGCAUUUAAUAAUUAUUUUUGAUAAUUAGAAAGUAAAUUUUCGAAUUAAAUAUUUGACAUUUAACUAUCUUCUCAAAAUCUCUCUACAAUAACUACACGAUUAGUUACUAAAAUAAAACUUCUAAAAUAUUUAACAUCAUUUAAAAAUUACAAAAUUAUCAUUUUUGAUAUUGCUUUUUUUGCAUGACUAUAACAAUUCCAUUAUACGCAUCAACCCACAUAGAUAUUUUAUAGCAGUUAAUUAUUACAAAAUUACAAAAUAUUUAGACAAUGAUUUAUAAACAUAUCAUAAAUAAGAUCAACAUUAAUAAAAUAAAUAGUUUUUUUUACUUAAUAACAAUUGUAAACUAUAAAAUAAAAAUAUUUUAUAGAUAGAUACAAUUUGUAAACUUUUAUAUAUACUAACUUAAAAAAAAAAAAAUUGUCCUUGCGGUAUACCGCGGGUUAAAAAUCUAGUAAUGUCACAUAAUUGCAACAAAUUCCCUCAUUUCUUUCAUAAAUUUCU